UAAUAAGUGUUUAGCUCAGGGCAUAUAAUUUAUAAAAACCUUCAUCUACGUGAUAAACACUAUGAAAGGCGAGGGUAUAUAUAAAAAGUUCGCCGACUUCUUAUAGUACAGUUAACUUACUACCAACUUUGAAACAAAGAAAAAGAGGAGAAGCGAUUCCGUUUACUGCAAUCGAUGAAAUGAGCCAAGGGUGUGCUUUAUCCCGCGAAAAAUGCUCAUCCACUGCCGACCUCAUUUCGUUUUUAUGGAAAAUUCUUCUACCACUUAAUGCCAUCUUUACAUCUUUAAACAAGUAAAAAUCGCUGGGAGCCAGUUCUGGACUGUAAAGUGGAUGGUUAAUUCCUCAAAGUCCCAUAUAUCGUA
Long non-coding RNA from Zophobas morio, 363 nucleotides. RefSeq lists it as uncharacterized. The record is from RefSeq and is a predicted model, not a curated record. The transcript is spliced from 3 exons. NCBI's taxonomy places the organism in Eukaryota, Metazoa, Arthropoda, Insecta, Coleoptera, Tenebrionidae.